GUGCACCAGUCGCGAAACCUCCACAAUGCACGAAAGUGUGAUGGGGUUACCCUGAGUGCCAUCCGAUGAGGAUGGCUUUUUCACCAGUGUAAGGCGCUGGUGGAAUAAGGGGAGGGCAAGGCUGGUGCCAGCCGCCGGCGGUAAAACCAGCUCCUCGAGUGGUCGGGAUGAUUAUUGGGCCUAAAGCGUCCGUAGCCGGUCUGGUAAGUCCCCGGUUAAAAUCCGGCAGCCUAACUGUCGGCCUGCUGGGGAUACU
RNAcentral lists this ribosomal RNA (256 nucleotides) under uncultured microorganism. RNAcentral describes it as "partial 16S ribosomal RNA". It matches the Rfam family "Archaeal small subunit ribosomal RNA", at positions 330 to 585 of the family's 1478-position model. The record is from RNAcentral.